This 126-nucleotide ribosomal RNA is filed under the name Triticum aestivum (bread wheat). RNAcentral's name for it is "partial small subunit ribosomal RNA". The record is from RNAcentral. Lineage: Eukaryota; Viridiplantae; Streptophyta; Magnoliopsida; Poales; Poaceae.
AUGCAUCUGACGUGGAAGCCAUGGUUGCACUUGGGGAGGACCUUGACGUGCUCCCCGGCCUCGAAGUCCGAGAGGCAGAUGGUGCACAUCGGGCAGGCGGUGUUGAGCUUCAGCCCCGCGGAGUAG